Non-coding RNA from Drosophila melanogaster (fruit fly), 597 nucleotides. The record is from Ensembl. NCBI's taxonomy places the organism in Eukaryota, Metazoa, Arthropoda, Insecta, Diptera, Drosophilidae.
GUUUUAAAAUUAACCGGGUAUCAGAUAGUCGAGGCUCUCGACUGUAUGAAAAGUAAUACAUCAUCAUAAUGGGCAACUUAUACUGCACUUUCUCGUCUCUUUCAUUUAAAAACCAUUUUCCCCGCUAAUUAUCGCAUGACUAACCGCUCUUCCAGGGAAUCCCCGAACAAGGACCCCAAACGGAAACAAACUUCAGCUCCUCGAAUCCGUCACAGCUGGCUGCCAGGCAACACAAAAGCUUAAUAAAGCGGCCAGCUAAAAAAAAAAAUACGUACACUUGAAUGUGGCAGGGGGCCAAGGAGGUCACAGUCUUUGGCAACUGUUGCCCCAAAAUCGGACGCAGAGCUCGUUGCGGGAGCAUUCACACAAGUGGGGAGAAAUCAACGCGUAUGGGGAUGUGGGUUUCGAGUUGGAGUUGGAAAGUGGAGAAAGGAACCCACUGUGACCACGUCGGACGGAGAGUCACACAUGUGACCAGAGCCAGAAAUUGGAGCGGCCAUUGAAUAUGAUAGAAAUAGAAAUAGAAAUACGUACGUGCAAAAAUUUCAACGCUUGAUUAAAUUUCAGUCACAGUCACAGAGAGAAGGUUGCUGCGAU